Molecule: long non-coding RNA, 1016 nt
Filed under: Oncorhynchus kisutch (coho salmon)
Lineage: Eukaryota; Metazoa; Chordata; Actinopteri; Salmoniformes; Salmonidae
Description: lncRNA (ENSOKIG00005043277.1)
Source: RNAcentral
GAUAUAGGACUCAUCAGAAGCUUCUGAAGCCGUGACAUCAUUUUCUGGAAUUUCCCAAGCUGUUUCCCAAACUAAGAAAUUAGUGGAGUGGUUGAUAAAUGAGUUUUAAUGACUCCAACCCAAGUGUAUGUAAACUUCCAACUUCAACUGUAGUUUAUGGACACCUAGAUUAUGAACCAACAAAAUGUCAAUAAAGAGUCUUGUCUCUGUAAAUUGGGUUCAUCUCAUCACAAAACUGUCCAAACCUAGAUGGUGGCACUUCUCUGAUUAGUUUAACAGGUUGUGUGACAUAGAAUUUGUAUGAGAUUAAACGCAUAUAGUAUGUAUAUAUAUACAUAUAGUAUGUCAAACUGGGUGACUUUCUCUGGGUCACAGCUGUUGUAUUUCACAUGAUGAUUUCUAAUGUACGCAGGUCAGGAAACACAGCGAAUGGCAAUGCCCCGAAACAACCAACUACACAACCUCCAGCAACACAGGCCCAACCCCCUCAGCCAAUGCCUACAUAUCCACCAUCCUCUACCUCAGGACCCAGGUAUGGAGAAAACAACAAUUGGAACCAACCUCCUGCCUCCCAGCCACCUCUCCCCCAGCAAGGCCCAGGUGUUCCCAAACCCAUCCCUCCUAAGCAUUAACCCUGACAGGAACACCCCUUCGAACAUAAUGGGGGGGCUCUUCCCUUAUUCGUUAUUGUAAAUUUCAUAUUUUGUAUUUUACUCACAUUUUGUAUGUUUGUUUGUGGAUAUCUAAAAAUAAUAAUAAUAAUUUUAAAAAACAUUUUAUUGCAGGAACAUGAUUUGGUGACAGAGACUUUUUAAGAUAUUGCCUUUUACAUAAUUACUAUGCAAAUGAAGGUAACAUAUUUUGUAAUAAAAAUAUACAUAUUGUUGAUAUUGUUCCGUUCCAGAAAGGCUCCAUUUAUUUUUAUGAGCAGGUUUACAAGAUUUAAAACAUAUAUUUUAAUGCUACUCAUAAUAAACAUGUAAUAUAAUAUUUCCUGCCUUAUUGUCCAUUGUUUU